CCUACGGGAGGCAGCAGUGAGGAAUAUUGGUCAAUGGACGCGAGUCUGAACCAGCCAAAUCGCGUGAAGGAAGACUGCCCUAAGGGUUGUAAACUUCUUUUGUAUGGGAAUAAAAAAUGGCACGUGUGCUAUAUUGUAUGUACCAUACGAAUAAGGAUCGGCUAACUCCGUGCCAGCAGCCGCGGUAAU
RNAcentral lists this ribosomal RNA (189 nucleotides) under uncultured bacterium. RNAcentral describes it as "partial 16S ribosomal RNA". It matches the Rfam family "Bacterial small subunit ribosomal RNA", at positions 338 to 524 of the family's 1533-position model. The record is from RNAcentral.